AUUGAACGCUGGCGGCAUGCCUUACACAUGCAAGUCGAACGGCAGCAUGAUCUAGCUUGCUAGAUUGAUGGCGAGUGGCGAACGGGUGAGUAAUACAUCGGAACGUGCCCUGUAGUGGGGGAUAACUAGUCGAAAGAUUAGCUAAUACCGCAUACGACCUGAGGGUGAAAGUGGGGGACGGCAAGCCCCCUUGCAUUAGAGCCGGCGAUGUCUGAUUAGCUAGUUGGUGAGGUAAAGGCUCACCAAGGCGACGAUCAGUAGCUGGUCUGAGAGGACGAUCAGCCACACUGGGACUGAGACACGGCCCAGACUCCUACGGGAGGCAGCAGUGGGGAAUUUUGGACAAUGGGCGAAAGCCUGAUCCAGCAAUGCCGCGUGUGUGAAGAAGGCCUUCGGGUUGUAAAGCACUUUUGUCCGGAAAGAAAUGGCUCUGGUUAAUACCUGGGGUCGAUGACGGCACCGGAAGAAUAAGGACCGGCUAACUACGUG
RNAcentral lists this ribosomal RNA (489 nucleotides) under uncultured bacterium. Its description in RNAcentral is "partial 16S ribosomal RNA". It matches the Rfam family "Bacterial small subunit ribosomal RNA", at positions 30 to 507 of the family's 1533-position model. The record is from RNAcentral.